This 340-nucleotide ribosomal RNA is filed under the name Lactiplantibacillus plantarum. RNAcentral's name for it is "bacterial SSU rRNA". It matches the Rfam family "Bacterial small subunit ribosomal RNA", at positions 587 to 925 of the family's 1533-position model. The record is from RNAcentral. Lineage: Bacteria; Bacillati; Bacillota; Bacilli; Lactobacillales; Lactobacillaceae.
GUCUGAUGUGAAAGCCUUCGGCUCAACCGAAGAAGUGCAUCGGAAACUGGGAAACUUGAGUGCAGAAGAGGACAGUGGAACUCCAUGUGUAGCGGUGAAAUGCGUAGAUAUAUGGAAGAACACCAGUGGCGAAGGCGGCUGUCUGGUCUGUAACUGACGCUGAGGCUCGAAAGUAUGGGUAGCAAACAGGAUUAGAUACCCUGGUAGUCCAUACCGUAAACGAUGAAUGCUAAGUGUUGGAGGGUUUCCGCCCUUCAGUGCUGCAGCUAACGCAUUAAGCAUUCCGCCUGGGGAGUACGGCCGCAAGGCUGAAACUCAAAGGAAUUGACGGGGGCCCGCA